This 516-nucleotide long non-coding RNA is filed under the name Triticum aestivum (bread wheat). RNAcentral's name for it is "long non-coding RNA (TAES_LNC018184)". The record is from RNAcentral. Lineage: Eukaryota; Viridiplantae; Streptophyta; Magnoliopsida; Poales; Poaceae.
GAGCUCUACGAGUGGACUAAGGUUGACCUCUCCGACGAGGCCCAGAAGAAGCGUGUCGAGGCCAUGAUCGAGGACCUUGAGCCGUUUGAGGGGCAGGCCUUGCUGGACGCCAAGUGCUUCAAGUAAGCGAACAGUGCCUGGGAUCGUGAUGGCGGUGGCAAAGAAACUAUCUAGGACUUGAAAUUCAGUGUCGAAACAGUUGGUCUUUUUUUGGAAGAGUUUGCUUGUUACUUAAUGGCUAUUUGACCUGGUGAACUAGUUAAUUUUGUGCUAUGCUAAGAGUUUUUGGGUAUCUGGUCCUGCUGUCUCGUUAUUCUGUGAGGUUUUUACAUUUGUGUCCGCAGAUAGAGCCAUCUACUCCUACUUCCGUGAAUCGUUAUAUUGCUGCUAUUGCUAGCCGCUAACUGUUUCUGAGCAAAGCAUGUAUGGCCUUCAUAGCGUGAUACACGAUUUAUCAGUGUAUCAUGAGUCAGCGGUCAUGGUCGCCAUCGUGGUCUGGCUAACAGCUGUAUAUCA